This 450-nucleotide ribosomal RNA is filed under the name uncultured bacterium. Its description in RNAcentral is "partial 16S ribosomal RNA". It matches the Rfam family "Bacterial small subunit ribosomal RNA", at positions 354 to 796 of the family's 1533-position model. The record is from RNAcentral.
GUGGGGAAUAUUGGACAAUGGGCGAAAGCCUGAUCCAGCCAUGCCGCGUGUGUGAAGAAGGUCUUCGGAUUGUAAAGCACUUUAAGUUGGGAGGAAGGGCAGUAAGUUAAUACCUUGCUGUUUUGACGUUACCGACAGAAUAAGCACCGGCUAACUUCGUGCCAGCAGCCGCGGUAAUACGAAGGGUGCAAGCGUUAAUCGGAAUUACUGCGCGUAAAGCGCGCGUAGGUGGUUCAGCAAGUUGGAGGUGAAAUCUCCGGGCUCAAGCUUGGAACUGCCUCAAAAACUACUAGGCUAGAGUACUGUAGAGGGUAGUGGAAUUUCCUUUGUAGCGGUGAAAUGCGUAGAUAUAGGAAGGAACACCAGUGGCGAAGGCGACUACCUGGACUGAUACUGACACUGAGGUGCGAAAGCGUGGGGAGCAAACAGGAUUAGAAACCCUGGUAGUCC